Alosa sapidissima (American shad) is the source of this 356-nucleotide long non-coding RNA. RefSeq lists it as uncharacterized. The record is from RefSeq and is a predicted model, not a curated record. The transcript has 2 exons. NCBI's taxonomy places the organism in Eukaryota, Metazoa, Chordata, Actinopteri, Clupeiformes, Clupeidae.
GCAGUGGAGGCGGUAGCAGCUAGCUAAGCACUCAAAUUGCCAGCCAGCCGCCUUUCGUAGCGAUAGCUGGCCUGACGAGGGAAAUGGCAAACAAUCACUGGCUGAAACUUAGCCUUCGUUUUGAACUACGUUUGUAUGAGUGGCUCAAUGAGUUAAAUCUCCAGUUACAAGGCUAAGACAAGCACCUACCUCACCUAGCAGAUCUAAGAUUACUGCAUUCACCAAAAAACUUGAGGUGCCGCUUCACUCUGCUACUGAAGGAUCAGGCUGACUGCAACUGCUAUGGAUGGCAGGAAAACACAGUACACGUGAAUUUCUAGAUGAAGAGUGAAUAAAUGCACUUGCUUAACUGAUAA